CCGCUGCCGGCGCGGCGGGCGGUGGCAGCCGCGAGCGCUGCCAGGCCGUGUAAGGAUGGGUACUGGAAUAACGACUAAAAUGGUUUCUGAAUCUAGAACAACUGAAAGAAAACAGAGAGUAAGAUGGGUAGACAAUGUGGAAGAAGAUACAAAACCUCUUAGAGUCUAAGUGAAGCGGAAAAUCGGUUCGCAGAGGCCAGAAUGGAGGAAAAUUGUUGAACAGGCUAAGAUACACGCUGGGCUGUAAUGCAACGAGAAGAAGACCUUUCUCCGCUGCUGUCUGUUAUCAUGAGGUGGAGGAAUAUUUGGCAUGACAGAUACUACGAUGUUAUUCAGUGUUCUAUAUUCACAAAAUUUCACUUUCAGCAAAAACUGUUCCGAUCCUGAUGCGAGUGCAGUGGGAUGUAUAUGUACACAUGUAAUCUGUUGUUGUUGCGAAUCAUUAACUGAAAAUUUACAUGAUUUAACACACUGGAAGUAACAUAUGCAGAAAACUGAUAUCAGUUUGCAGAGUAUGUAAUAUGCAGAUUUUUGAAGUGCACUUCCUGCAGUGUUGCCUGUGAUGUAGUCUGAUGUUCUGGUAUGUGAUGUGCUGAAUGACACCAAUGCGAAGAGAUCCAGUGAUGAGGAGAGAAAACUAUUUUCAUAGAAGGCUUUUUAAGAUGUAUUUUGAUUGUGUGCGGAAAGAGUCCAUUUGCAAUAUGAUAUUUUUAAUAAUUUUCAGUGAGGUAUGGAUUACACAUGGUAAUUUUCUCAAUCUACAUAGCGAAAUUACUGACACUUUCAUGAUGUGGAUGCAUGUUUCACAUAUGGAAAUCCAGUCUUUGUAUCUUCAUGAGGAGAGUAUGUUUUGGGGAUUGGUAGAGAAUCUGUUUGCUAUUAAUUCAGACAAACAGUAGAAAUGUUAAUUUCAUCACUUUUCCUAUCACUGAUUCGUUAUUUGUACUGAUUUUGUUUUGUUUGACUUUCUGAUGUUAUGAA
This 981-nucleotide long non-coding RNA is filed under the name Schistocerca americana (American grasshopper). RNAcentral's name for it is "uncharacterized LOC124613978". The record is from RNAcentral. Lineage: Eukaryota; Metazoa; Arthropoda; Insecta; Orthoptera; Acrididae.